AAACUCAUUUUCUUCCUUAGGAUAAACUUCAAAUACAUCCCGUGUGGUUUUAUAUUUUCUCAUUUUAAUAUUUUGUAGUUUAAAAUUUAUCAAAUUAGCCUUUGUGGUUUCACACUUUUUUAUUUUAGUAACUCGUGAUUUAUAGUGUAUCAAGUUAGUACCUUGUGGUUUUUUUUUUUCUUUUUAUUAUUCAUUUCACUAAUUUUUUUCGUUAAAUCAGUGACAAAGUUAAAAUUCAAGGGUACUGAAGUGAAUAUUUGAUAUACCUAGGUAGGGUAUUUAAAGUUUUUUGUAUACAAUUUAACGAAAUAUUAACGGAGGAAAAAAAAAUCAGUGACAAAAUUAAAACUAAAGAGUAUUAAAAUAAAUAUUCGAUAAACCUAGGUAGAGUAUUUAAAGUUUUUUGUAUAUAAUUUAAUGAAAUAUUAACAAAGGAGCCGACGAAAAGAGAAAAAUGAAACCACAUGGUUCUAAAUUGAUCCACUUUAAACUACAGAGUACGAAAGUGAGAAAUGGUGAAACCACAUGAUACUAAAUUGAUAGACUUUAAACCACAAGAUACUAAAGUGAAAAUGUGCUAAACUACAGGGGUAGUAUUUGAAGUUUUCCCUAAAAAAAAAAAAUCCUAACUUCUUAUAUCCUUUUUCUUUUUUUAUCUUUUUAUAACGACAUUCUUAUCUAAUUAAUAUAUAUUAUUGUAGUCACUAAAUCUCUUUCCAUCUAAUUUUUU
RNAcentral lists this long non-coding RNA (730 nucleotides) under Ananas comosus (pineapple). Its description in RNAcentral is "long non-coding RNA (ACOM_LNC040673)". The record is from RNAcentral. Lineage: Eukaryota; Viridiplantae; Streptophyta; Magnoliopsida; Poales; Bromeliaceae.